This 274-nucleotide ribosomal RNA is filed under the name uncultured bacterium. Its description in RNAcentral is "partial 16S ribosomal RNA". It matches the Rfam family "Bacterial small subunit ribosomal RNA", at positions 523 to 796 of the family's 1533-position model. The record is from RNAcentral.
AGACGGGGGGUGCUAGCGUUGUUCGGAAUUACUGGGCGUAAAGGGCGCGUAGGCGGCUCUGCGAGUCGGGCGUGAAAUCCCGGGGCUCAACCCCGGAACGGCGCUCGAUACUGCGGGGCUGGAGACCGGAAGAGGAGGGUGGAAUUCCCAGUGUAGAGGUGAAAUUCGUAGAUAUUGGGAGGAACACCGGUGGCGAAAGCGGCUCUCUGGUCCGGUUCUGACGCUGAGGCGCGAAAGCGUGGGGAGCAAACAGGAUUAGAAACCCCAGUAGUCC